This is a long non-coding RNA of Haliotis rubra (blacklip abalone), 103 nucleotides long. RefSeq lists it as uncharacterized. The record is from RefSeq and is a predicted model, not a curated record. NCBI's taxonomy places the organism in Eukaryota, Metazoa, Mollusca, Gastropoda, Lepetellida, Haliotidae. The transcript has 3 exons.
GUUUACAUGGACAUUUAUUUUUGAACAUUUUUUUUUAAUUUCAAUGUUUUAUUGUCAGAAAGUCCCUGUUACAAGAUUGAGGAUCACCUCUAGGAAAAUGGUG